CGGCGGACGGGUGAGUAACGCGUGGGUAACCUGCCUCAUACAGGGGGAUGACAGUUAGAAAUGACUGCUAAUACCGCAUAAGACCACAGCACCGCAUGGUGCGGGGGUAAAAACUCCGGUGGUAUGAGAUGGACCCGCGUCUGAUUAGCUAGUUGGUAAGGUAACGGCUUACCAAGGCGACGAUCAGUAGCCGACCUGAGAGGGUGACCGGCCACAUUGGGACUGAGACACGGCCCAA
This 238-nucleotide ribosomal RNA is filed under the name uncultured bacterium. RNAcentral's name for it is "partial 16S ribosomal RNA". It matches the Rfam family "Bacterial small subunit ribosomal RNA", at positions 96 to 334 of the family's 1533-position model. The record is from RNAcentral.